Molecule: ribosomal RNA, 222 nt
Filed under: uncultured bacterium
Lineage: Bacteria
Description: partial 16S ribosomal RNA
Rfam family: Bacterial small subunit ribosomal RNA
Source: RNAcentral
GAUCCUGGCUCCAGGAUGAACGCUGGCGGCGUGCCUAAUACAUGCAAGUAGAACGCUGAAGGAGGAGCUUGCUCUUCUGGAUGAGUUGCGAACGGGUGAGUAACGCGUAGGUAACCUGCCUGGUAGCGGGGGAUAACUAUUGGAAACGAUAGCUAAUACCGCAUAACAGUAGAUAUCGCAUGAUAUCUGCUUGAAAGGUGCAAUUGCAUCACUACCAGAUGG